GCUGUAGCUCAGUGGCACAGCGCCUGCCUCUCAUGUGUGAGGCACUGGGUUCGAUCCUCAGCACCA
Molecule: transfer RNA, 66 nt
Filed under: Marmota monax (woodchuck)
Lineage: Eukaryota; Metazoa; Chordata; Mammalia; Rodentia; Sciuridae
Description: tRNA.Glu
Source: RNAcentral